RNAcentral lists this ribosomal RNA (253 nucleotides) under uncultured bacterium. Its description in RNAcentral is "partial 16S ribosomal RNA". It matches the Rfam family "Bacterial small subunit ribosomal RNA", at positions 524 to 776 of the family's 1533-position model. RNAcentral also lists the same sequence under 1 other name. The record is from RNAcentral.
AACGUAGGAGGCGAGCGUUAUCCGGAUUCACUGGGCGUAAAGCGCGUGCAGGUGGCUUGGUAAGUUAGGCGUGAAAUCUCCCGGCUCAACUGGGAGAGGUCGUCUAAUACUACCGGGCUUGAGAGCAGAAGAGGAAGAUGGAAUUCCCGGUGUAGUGGUGAAAUGCGUAGAUAUCGGGAGGAACACCAGUGGCGAAGGCGAUCUUCUGGUCUGUUUCUGACACUCAGACGCGACAGCUAGGGUAGUAAACGGG